GCAGUUACAGGUGUGGGCAGUUAUGCAGCAGCUUAAUGCUCAUGUAUGAAACUGC
RNAcentral lists this non-coding RNA (55 nucleotides) under Danio rerio (zebrafish). The record is from RNAcentral. Lineage: Eukaryota; Metazoa; Chordata; Actinopteri; Cypriniformes; Danionidae.